RNAcentral lists this long non-coding RNA (246 nucleotides) under Brassica napus (rape). Its description in RNAcentral is "long non-coding RNA (BNAP_LNC012739)". The record is from RNAcentral. Lineage: Eukaryota; Viridiplantae; Streptophyta; Magnoliopsida; Brassicales; Brassicaceae.
UUUUUUGUCCACGGCUCAAAAUGAUCUAUUCUCCUAAUUACACACUUCUCCAUUUGACAUUCUCUUAAGUCACCCUAAAAUCAAUACAACUAACAAAACAUGUUGAUCUGGCAAAUAUAAAACAGACGUAAAUAAAGUAAUAUAUAAAUAAUGAUAUUAUCAUCACAUAAUUUUGCAUUACACAUUUUUCGAAUAUAUGAUUCUAUUUUCAAAACAAGAAAGAAAGAAAGAAUUCUGGUCAGAUUU